AGCCAGCCCGCCGCGCGCAGCAUGCCGGGAAGCCGGGGCCGGCCCUGCCGCCCCCGGGAGCGACGCGUCCCGCCCCGCCGGGAAACGACGCGGCUACGGGGCAGCGGAGCCCCGCGGGGGCGGCCCUGUGUCUGCGGACCGGGCUGCGACUGGACACGGGGUCUGUCUGCUACUGACACCCGGGGGCGCCGCCACCUUCACCCCCACACGCGUCCGGCUCGGUGGAAAAGCGGACUCAGGGCAGUUUUAUUUGGUUUUAUUUUUUCAUAAGUCGGGUUCGUGCCCUGACAACACCUGCUCCCCGUGGGAAAUGUUCCGAUCUUCGUCGGGCUGAAUUGGUCAGCACUGAUGUGCUGCUUAGGACAGACUCCUCCUAAGGAAUUCAGUAUUGUCUUUUUAGAUCCUGCCUCAGUUUAAUGAUACAUGAUUUAGAAUUUGAUCCAUUCAUUUGUGGCUGCACAAUCAGCUGAUCCAACUGAAAAAUACCUCACCACACAAGAGUUCCCUGUUGGAUCAUCUUCCUCAAUUGGAUCUCAUGUAAAAGAAGAGCUGGGAAGGAAUUACUGAAGACUCUAUACCAACUUCACCAAACUGGAUCAAGAAAAACAGGACAAGUACAAGAUGUUUUGGAUGGCGUAAAAGAUGCUGCAGUGCACAAGAAUUGUUGAAUCAUAGAAUCAUCAAGGUCGGAAAAGAUCUCCAAGAUCAAGAAUACGAUGAUAUUACUAAGACAAAAUGUAUCCGUCACAGGCCACAUGUCGAUAUUCAAGGCUACAGUGAUUUACUUUCCAUCUAUAAGUGUAUUUUGUCUUAGUAUUUUGUUAGUGCCCAAGUUGCAUGGCUUACUUAUGGCACUCUUGAAUAUUCCUUUAAAUAAAGAGAAUAUAUGAAACAUACCAAGACAGUUAGUCUAGUGUCUUGUGUCAUACGAGAAGUCAGGAUAAUAUUAUUCAAUUGUCCUUUUUGGCCUCAAUAUACAUGAAGUAUGCAAAUAGAAUUACAUGAAGCAUGGAGCUGGAGUUCCCUCAAUUACAUAUAACUUUAGAACUAGGCAAGUAAUAAAAUAAUAAACUUUAUAUUAUUAUUUGUCCUGACCAUUAAAAUGGUGAUGUGUAAAUUUGUACUUAAUACUUGUACAUGUUGAUGCCAGAAAAUAGAGUUUAUGCCUUCCUACUUUUUUUCCAUAUUCCAAGUACUACCUGCAGCUCAUGUUACAUAGCAUUUGAUAUGUUUACUUUGCAGUUUUCUUAAAUGAUAACAAGUUCACCAAAGGUAAACACAAAGUAGUUGUUACACUAUUUGCUUUAGCAAUCUUACGAUGAUGCUUUGUGGUGUUCCUGUAUGAAGCAGAUAAUGUGUGAGCUGCUGGGUGCCUGAGCUUCCCUGGGAUGCUGGAAGCAGCAUCACUGUGUGCCAGUUUCCUGAUGCUGCCACAGGGAACCACUUGUCCUAAUGCUUUUUUUGGCACAAACAGCUGUUCUUAAUGUGGCCAAACCAACUACACCCUAUAUGGUCGCUCUUCUUUGCUGACCACUUGGGCCAGAUUUCAACCAAUGGCAAGGUUAAGAUUAAUCUCUACCACUCUACUAACAAAGAAAAUAGAAAUACUUCCACUGACCAUAAUGAACGUUACACUGGAACUCCAUGCCCUUGAUAAGGAGUCCUUAUGAACUCAAGUGCUUGAAACAAAGCUAAAUGCCAAGCAAACAUUGCGUGUGCUCUGAAAGUAGCAAUGGACGCAAUGUUCUCUGCAGAGAUUGCCAUGCAAGCAAGUUACUGUAGAAACACACUGGAAAUCAAAAUGGUGUUUUUAAUAUUACUGAAUUGUGUGUCCUGUGACAAAGCUGCACAAUACGUGCUGACCACAUAUCAAAGCUUCUUUGUUUAAGAGGAAUAUUGCAUACUGUUGGAAGGGAAUUUACUUGUACUAACAGUUCACUUUAAACAUAUACUCUGCCUACCCACAUGAAUAGUAUUGUUGAACUUAAUGGUACUCAUUUUGAGAUGUAAGCAUUUUGUAUGGCCCUCCAUAUAAUUAGAACAUUAGCAGAGUUAGUUUUGUGAUAGAGCCUGCCAGCAUGGCGUGCAGAAAAGCCGAUUAUACAGGUUAUGUGACUGUCUAUAUAUCAAUCCACCCAAGCCUAACAGUGCAACAAAGUGUCGGGAUUGUUAAACUGUAGUAGAGUCCAAAAUAUCCCAUAAAGACAAUAUUUAUUGUACGGGAUCCGGUUUGUCUACUAUAGCAAAAAGCACACUGAGUUUGGAUAGAGCGAUCUCAUAAAGGGGGUAUUUAUCUCUCUUUCACACGUGUGCAUCCUUCAACAGCGCAGUUUGAAUUAUACUUUUGUUUCUGAAGAGGAUGAAAUAGGACAAUACACAAUGGCAGCUCAAACCGGUGUGUUUUGAAUACAUGGAAUCAACAGUUUUCAUAUGAGUUCUAAAUGUUCACACCAGAACUUUUACAUUUUUAUGUUUUCAUAUCAGGAAUAUAAACUUGUACUUCAGCCUGUGUUUGUGAUGCUUGUUUUCCUUUACCUGCUGAUAAACUAUAUAGUCAGUGGCUUAAUAAGAAUCAUUUAUCUUGCUAUAACAGUACGAAACUCUAACUGCUUCAGAUGUACCAAACAGAAAGACAUCUUGUACUUUCCACAAGACAUGCAAUCCAUUCUGCACCACAUCUUUUGAAAGCAUCUCCUAUCCUAUUCCAACAGCAGUGAUGGAUAUCACAGAUAGAUGUGCCUGGAUGACACGAACAAAAAGUGCAUAAAUGCUGUAAUAUGAGCUAGGUUCAUAUUAACCACAAUUUUUUGCCUCCUAUGUUGUUUCUUCACUUUCACCUCAAGCACAAAGUUGGCAGAAGGUUUUGUAUUAGGUCACCUCUGUUGAGGUUUUUUAACUACAAGAUUCCCAACUGGUAACUAAUUGAAUGUGAAAAGUGCCUGUGUGUACACAUGACUCUGGUACUUGCUGUGGUCUUAGCUGCACAUAUAUGGUGCCAUUUGCUGCACUACUUUUUGGCUGCACAGUAUGAAGCUGAAAGCUGAACAUACGCUUGUAUGUUUUAGUGAGGAUGGGGAGAGUCUGAGAUUCUGUAUGGCACAUCUGCUAACCUUAUCUACAGACUGAGACCUGAGUGUUCAAACAAUGCGAGACCUGAUCCAUAUGGCAGUGGUUGUA
This is a non-coding RNA of Coturnix japonica (Japanese quail), 3177 nucleotides long. The record is from RefSeq and is a predicted model, not a curated record. NCBI's taxonomy places the organism in Eukaryota, Metazoa, Chordata, Aves, Galliformes, Phasianidae.